Triticum aestivum (bread wheat) is the source of this 135-nucleotide non-coding RNA. The record is from Rfam. Lineage: Eukaryota; Viridiplantae; Streptophyta; Magnoliopsida; Poales; Poaceae.
AAUAUACUCCCUCCGUCCCAAAAUUCUUGUCUUAGAUUUGUCUAAAUACGGAUGUAUCUAGUUACGUUUUAGUGUUAGAUACAUCCGUAUCUAGACAAAUUUAAGACAAGAAUUUUGGGGCGAAGGGAGUAGAAA